UUGCUGUGAUGUAUGAAUUUCUUCACCUGAAUUGCAGACUGAAGAGAAAAAGUACAAGCUUUUUAACCCUGAGCUUU
Molecule: small nucleolar RNA, 77 nt
Organism: Eublepharis macularius
Lineage: Eukaryota; Metazoa; Chordata; Lepidosauria; Squamata; Eublepharidae
Source: RefSeq, a predicted model, not a curated record